GUGGAGGGAUGUAUUUUAUUCUACUAGAGGAGAGAUGGAGGGAUGCAUUUUAUUCUACUAGAGGAGAGGUGGAGGGAUGUAUUUUAUUAAACUAGAGGAGGGAUGCAUUUUAUUAAACUAGGAGAGAUGGAGGGACGUAUUUUAUUAAACUAGAGGAGAGAUGGAGGGAUGUAUUUUAAUCUACUGGAGGAGAGAUGGAGGGAUGUAUUUUAUUAAACUAGAGGAGAGAUGUAUAUUAUUAAACUAGAGGAGAGAUGUAUUUUUUUUAAACUAGGGGAGAGAUGUAUAUUAUUAAACUAGAGGAGGGAUGUAUUUUAUUCUACUGGAGGAGAGAUGGAGGGAUGUAUUUUAUGAAACUAGAGGAGAGAUGUAUAUUAUUAAACUAGAGGAGAGAUGUAUUUUUUUUAAACUAGGGGAGAGAUGUAUAUUAUUAAACUAGAGGAGAGAUGUAUAUUAUUAAACUAGAGGAGAGAUGUAUUUUUUUUAAACUAGGGGAGAGAUGUAUUUUAUUAAACUAGAGGAGAGAUGUAUAUUAUUAAACUAGAGGAGGGAUGUAUUUUAUUCUACUAGAGGAGAGAUGAGGGAUGUAUUUUAUUAAACUAAGGGAGAGAUGGAAGGAUGUAUUUUAUUCUACUAGAGGAGAGAUGAGGGAUGUAUUUUAUUAAACUAAGGGAGAGAUGGAGGGAUGUAUUUUAUUCUACUAGAGGAGAGAUGAGGGAUGUAUUUUAUUAAACUAAGGGAGAGAUGGAGGGAUUUAUUUUAUUCUGCUAGAGGAGAGAUGGAGGGAUGUAUUUUAUUAAACUAGAGGAGAGAUGGAGGGAUUUAUUUUAUUCUGCUAGAGGAGAGAUAGAGGGAUGUAUUUUAAUAAACUAGGAGAGAUGGAGGGAUGUAUUUUAAACUAGGAGGGAUGCAUUUUAUUCUAGAGAGAUGGAGGGAAGUAUUUUAUUAAACUAGAGGAGAGAUGGAGGGAUAUAUUUUAUUCUACUGGAGGAGAGAUGGAGGGAUGUAUUUUAUUACACUAGAGGAGAGAUGUAUUUUAUUAAACUAGAGGACAGAUGGAGGGAUGUAUUUUAUUAAACUAGAGGAGAGAUGUAUUUUAUUAAACUAGGAGGGAUGUAUUUUAUUAAACUAGGAGAGAUGGAGGGAUGCAUUUUAUUAAACUAGAGGAGAGAUGGAGGGAUGCAUUUUAUUAAACUAGAGAGAUGUAUUUUAUUCUACUAGAGAGAUGGAGGGAUGUAUUUUAUUAAACUAGAGGAGAGAUGUAUUUUCUUAAACUAGAGAGAUGUAUUUUCUUAAACUAGAGGAGAUGGAGGGAUGCAGGGAUGUAUUUUAUUAAACUAGAGGAGAGAUGUAUUUUCUUAAACUAGAGGAGAUGGAGGGAUGCAUUUUACUCUACUAGAGAUGGAGGGAUGUAUUUUAUUAAACUAGGAGAGAUGGAGGGAUGCAUUUUAUUCUACUGGAGGAGAGAUGGAGGGAUGUAUUUUUAUUCUACUACCAGAGGCGAGAUGGGGGUAUGCAUUUUAUUCUACUAGAGGAGAGAUGGAAGGGUGCAUUUUAUUCUACUUGCAGAGACGGAUGGAUUUUAUUCUACGACUAGAGGAACGGUCAGAGAUGGCAGAGCUUUGGCUUUGCAGCUUUUAAGUUGGAUUAAAGGUAUACGCUAGGAUACUUUCGUGAGCCAAUGCUAACUAGUGUUAGCACAAUGACUGGAAGUCCAUGGUAUCAUGCACCCAGUCAUUGCACUAACACCAGUUAAUAUUGGCUCACAAAAGUAUCCUUGCGUUAAUCAGACUGGGUGAGUAGAUAGGUUUUCAUUGUCAAAAUCCCUUUAAAUGUAGAGCUGAUGUGGAUGGUGUCAGUAAAGGAAGAGAUUAUUUUUAAAGUCACAUUUACACAACCCUCAUCUACCGGUAGAAAUUAGGGGGUGGUGAGGUCAUCACUCUCCUGCAAGACUCAGCCUAUCCUGUGGGGCUGCCAUGGGGUCUCCAGGUGCAUCCUUGAUGUCAUCUCCUGAGAACACGCCAACCUGUGUGUUGGCUUCAUAGAGGUAGAAAGGAUUCCUCUGUGCCUCAAUGGAUUCUGUGACAGCAUGGGUA
This is a long non-coding RNA of Oncorhynchus tshawytscha (Chinook salmon), 2096 nucleotides long. The record is from Ensembl. Lineage: Eukaryota; Metazoa; Chordata; Actinopteri; Salmoniformes; Salmonidae.